Long non-coding RNA from Ostrea edulis (European flat oyster), 2009 nucleotides. RefSeq lists it as uncharacterized. The transcript is spliced from 3 exons. The record is from RefSeq and is a predicted model, not a curated record. NCBI's taxonomy places the organism in Eukaryota, Metazoa, Mollusca, Bivalvia, Ostreida, Ostreidae.
CUCCUGGGGUCCAGAUGUAGAAUUGGAAAUUACAAUGAGAGGCUUUCAUUGCGUCACUCAAAACUGGAGGACAACUGAAUGGAACUGUUGCCUGGAGACCGAUUUGAAUUGUCUCCCCCUCAAUCACUGAAUACUGAAGGAACUGGUUGGAAUAGACACUUAAAGAUGGCCUCCAUGGCUGAUCCGUCCUCGGUCUCCUCGUGGAAACUUCUCACUUCCGGACACACGUGGAGGUCGCUAUCUAGAUUAUAUUUAUAAUGAACCGCGGUAAGGAGCUGUGGAAACAAUAUCGUAUAAUACAUGUAAUAAAGAGAAUGUGAUAGGAGAAUGUUAUAUAAUAAGACAAUGUGAUAUGAUAUGAGAAUGUGAUGUAUGUAUGAUAAGAGAAUGUGAUAUGAUAAGAGAAUGUGAUAUGUUAUGAGAAUGUGAUGUAUAUAUGAUAAGAGAAUGUGAUAUGUUAUGAGAAAGUGAUGUAUGUAUGAUAAGAGAAUGUGAUAUGUUAUGAUAAUGUGAUAUGAUAAGAGAAUGUGAUGUAUGCAUGAUAAGAGAAUGUGAUAUGUUGAAUGUGAUAUGCUGUGAGAAUGUGAUGUGUUAUGAGAAUGUGAUAUGUUAUGAGAAUGUGAUGUAUGUAUAAUAAGAGCAUGUGAUAUGUUAUGAGAAUGUGAUGUUAUGAGAAUGUGAUAUGUUAUGAGAAUGUGAUGUAUGUAUGAUAAGAGAAUGUGAUAUUAUAUGAGAAUGUGAUAUAUUAUGAGAAUAUGAUGUUUUAUGAGAAUGUGAUAUGUUAUGAGAAUGUGAUGUAUGUAUAAUAAGAGAAUGUGAUAUGUUAUGAGAAUGUGAUAUGUUGUGAGCAUGUGAUAUGUUAUGAGAAUGUGAUAUGUUGUGAGCAUGUGAUAUGUUAUGAGAAUGUGAUGUUAUGAGAAUGUGAUAUGUUAUGAGAAUGUGAUGUAUGUAUGAUAAGAGAAUGUGAUAUUAUAUGAGAAUGUGAUAUAUUAUGAGAAUAUGAUGUUUUAUGAGAAUGUGAUAUGUUAUGAGAAUGUGAUAUGUUAUGAGAAUAUAAAACUUAUACGGUACCAAUUUUGAUGCACCAGAUGCACAUUUCAACAAAUAAUGUCUCUUCAGUGAUGCUCAACCGAAAUGUUUGAAAUCCGAAAUAACUAUGAAGCUUUAGAGCUAAAUAUAGCCAAAAACAGCGUGCCAAAAAAGGUGGAACCAAAUUCGUCCAAGGAUAAGAGCUAUGCAUGAGGGAGAUAAUCCUUAAUUUUGAAAUGAAUUUCUAAAUUUUAUAACAGCAAUUAAAUAUACAUCCGUAUUUUCAAGCUAGUAACGAAGUACUUAGCUACUGGGCUGUAGAGACCCUCGGGGACUAACAGUCCACCAGCAGAGGCCUCGACCCAGGGGUCAUAAUAUAAAACUUAUACGGUACCAAUUUUGAUGCACCAGAUGCACAUUUCAACAAAUAAUGUCUAAAGGGAGAUAAUCCUUAAUUUUGAAAUGAAUUUCUAAAUUUUAUAACAGCAAUUAGAGAAUGUGAUGUAUGUAUGAUAUGAGAAUGUGAUAUGUUAUGAAAAUGUGAUAUGUUAUUAAAAUAUAUGUUAUGAGAAUGUGAUAUGAUAAGAGAAUGUGAUGUGUUAUGAGAAUGUGAUAUGUUGUGAGAAUGUGAUGUAUGUAUGAUAAGAGAAUGUGAUAUGUUAUGAGAAUGUGAUAUGUUGUGAGCAUGUGAUAUGUUAUGAGAAUGUGAUGUUAUGAGAAUGUGAUAUGAUAAGAGAAUGUGAUGUGUUAUGAGAAUGUGAUAUGUUGUGAGAAUGUGAUGUAUGUAUGAUAAGAGAAUGUGAUAUGUUAUGAGAAUGUGAUGUGUUAUGAGAAUGCGAUGUAUGUAUGAUAAGAGAAUGUGAUAUGAUUGGAAAAUGUGAUAUUAGAAAUAUGUUAUUACAAGUUCUGUUUAUAAUUCGAUCAUUAAUGCAAAGUGUAAUUUGAUAAUAGGUGAAAUAAAAAGCACCAUGUGAAGUGAC